This 65-nucleotide transfer RNA is filed under the name Tenebrionoidea sp. 21 KM-2017. Its description in RNAcentral is "tRNA-Tyr". The record is from RNAcentral. Lineage: Eukaryota; Metazoa; Arthropoda; Insecta; Coleoptera.
GGUAAAAUGGCUGACAAUAGGCAAUAAAUUGUAAAUUUAUGCAUGAAUAAAUAAUUCUUUUACCA